GACGAACGCUGGCGGCGUGCUUAACACAUGCAAGUCGAACGGAAAGGCCCUGCUUUUGUGGGGUGCUCGAGUGGCGAACGGGUGAGUAACACGUGAGUAACCUGCCCUUGACUUUGGGAUAACUUCAGGAAACUGGGGCUAAUACCGGGUAGGAGCUCCUGCUGCAUGGUGGGGGUUGGAAGGUUUCGGCGGUUGGGGAUGGACUCGCGGCUUAUCAGCUUGUUGGUGGGGUAGUGGCUUACCAAGGCUUUGACGGGUAGCCGGCCUGAGAGGGUGACCGGCCACAUUGGGACUGAGAUACGGCCCAGACUCCUACGGGAGGCAGCAGUGGGGAAUAUUGCACAAUGGGCGGAAGCCUGAUGCAGCAACGCCGCGUGCGGGAUGACGGCCUUCGGGUUGUAAACCGCUUUCGCCUGUGACGAAGCGUGAGUGACGGUAAUGGGUAAAGAAGCACCGGCUAACUACGUG
This 468-nucleotide ribosomal RNA is filed under the name uncultured bacterium. Its description in RNAcentral is "partial 16S ribosomal RNA". It matches the Rfam family "Bacterial small subunit ribosomal RNA", at positions 28 to 507 of the family's 1533-position model. The record is from RNAcentral.